CCUACGGGUGGCAGCAGUGAGGAAUAUUGGUCAAUGGCCGGAAGGCUGAACCAGCCAAGCCGCGUGAAGGACGAAGGUGCCAAGCAUUGUAAACUUCUUUUGUCAAGGGACAAAAUCAGGCUCGAGAGCCUGACCGAGGGUACUUGAAGAAAAAGCAUCGGCUAACUCCGUGCCAGCAGCCGCGGUAAUACGGAGGAUGCGAGCGUUAUCCGGAUUUAUUGGGUUUAAAGGGUGCGUAGGCGGGCUGUUAAGUCAGCGGUAAAAGCCCGGGGCUCAACCCCGGCGAGCCGUUGAAACUGGCUGUCUUGAGAUGUCGAGAGGUAGGCGGAAUUCGUGGUGUAGCGGUGAAAUGCUUAGAUAUCACGAAGAACUCCGAUUGCGAAGGCAGCCUGCUGGACUGUAACUGACGCUGAUGCUCGAAAGUGUGGGUAUCAAACAGGAUUAGAUACCCCUGUAGUC
Molecule: ribosomal RNA, 459 nt
Filed under: uncultured bacterium
Lineage: Bacteria
Description: partial 16S ribosomal RNA
Rfam family: Bacterial small subunit ribosomal RNA
Source: RNAcentral